RNAcentral lists this long non-coding RNA (568 nucleotides) under Sus scrofa (pig). RNAcentral's name for it is "lncRNA (ENSSSCG00070016406.1)". The record is from RNAcentral. Lineage: Eukaryota; Metazoa; Chordata; Mammalia; Artiodactyla; Suidae.
UCUCUCCACCUUCGAGGAUGACCCCAUGCAAGCCCGAAAAUGGGUAGACACAAGUGAGCGAGAGCAUGAUUUCUGAAUGACAAGGAGGACGUUUAUUGGGAGUUGACAGGUGCAGGAGGAAGGGCUGGGCUGGACCAGGGUCGCGGGGGAGACCCUCGCGGGGUCCUGUGGCUCCAGGCCCCUGAGGGUGGGGGCCCAGGACCUAGGCGCACUCGGAGGGCGUCACUGUCUUCUCCACAAUGGUCCCCUCGUGGGUGACCUGGCAGGUGAAGCCGCUGGAAGAUUUCCAGUCACUGCGGACAGGGCCAGGUAGCUGCUGGCCGCGUACUUGUUGUUGCUCUGUUUCGAGGGCUUGGUGGUCUCCACGCCCUGGGUGACGGUGGUGCCGCCUGCCUUCCAGGUCACCGUCACGGCGCCCGGGUAGAAGUCACUUAUUAGACACACCAGGGUGGCCUUGUUGGUGCCGAGCUCCUCAGAGGAGGGCGGGAAGAGGUUGACCGUGGGAGCGGCCUUGGGCUGACCUGGGGGUCGGGGAGAGACGGGAGGUCGUUGGCUCAGUGUCCAUCAG